CCUACGGGAGGCAGCAGUGAGGAAUAUUGGACAAUGGGCGCAAGCCUGAUCCAGCCAUGCCGCGUGCAGGAUGACGGUCCUAUGGAUUGUAAACUGCUUUUAUACAGGAAGAAACACCUCUACGUGUAGAGACUUGACGGUACUGUAAGAAUAAGGAUCGGCUAACUCCGUGCCAGCAGCCGCGGUAAUACAGGGGGUGCUAACGUUGUUCGGAAUUACUGGGCGUAAAGCGCGCGCAGGCGGCUAUACAAGUCAGAUGUGAAAUCUCGGGGCUUAACUCCGAAAGUGCAUUUGAAACUGUAUGGCUAGAGUACAGUAGAGGUUGGUGGAAUUCCCAGUGUAGAGGUGAAAUUCGUAGAUAUUGGGAGGAACACCGGUGGCGAAGGCGGCCAACUGGGCUGUAACUGACGCUGAGGCGCGAAAGCGUGGGGAGCAAACAGGAUUAGAUACCCUGGUAGUCCACGCCGUAAACGAUGGAUACUCGCUGUGGUUGGUAUUGACCCCGACCGUAGCCAAGCUAACGCGAUAAGUAUCCCGCCUGGGAAGUACGGUCGCAAGAUUAAAACUCAAAGGAAUUGACGG
Molecule: ribosomal RNA, 582 nt
Filed under: uncultured bacterium
Lineage: Bacteria
Description: bacterial SSU rRNA
Rfam family: Bacterial small subunit ribosomal RNA
Source: RNAcentral